RNAcentral lists this unclassified non-coding RNA (362 nucleotides) under soil metagenome. RNAcentral describes it as "partial contains 5.8S ribosomal RNA, internal transcribed spacer 2, and large subunit ribosomal RNA". The stretch from base 1 to 120 matches the Rfam family "5.8S ribosomal RNA", at positions 35 to 154 of the family's 154-position model. The record is from RNAcentral.
GAUGAAGAACGUAGUGAAAUGCGAUAAGUAAUGUGAAUUGCAGAAUUCAGUGAAUCAUUGAAUCUUUGAACGCACCUUGCGCUCCUUGGUAUUCCGAGGAGCAUGCCUGUUUGAGUGUCAUUAAUAUAUCAACCUUCUCUUUUUUGAGUUGUUUGGAUGUGGGGGUUUGCUGGCCUCUUAAAUGAUUCAGCUCCCCUGAAAUGCAUUAGCAGAACAACCUGUUCAUUGGCGUGAUAAUUAUCUAUGCUAUUGAAUGUGAGGGCAGUUCAGCUUUCUAACCGUCCUUGGACAAUUCAUCAUUAAUGUGACCUCAAAUCAGGUAGGACUACCCGCUGAACUUAAGCAUAUCAAUAAGCGGAGGA